Molecule: long non-coding RNA, 791 nt
Filed under: Gouania willdenowi (blunt-snouted clingfish)
Lineage: Eukaryota; Metazoa; Chordata; Actinopteri; Blenniiformes; Gobiesocidae
Description: lncRNA (ENSGWIG00000013883.1)
Source: RNAcentral
CUUUGGAUGAGUUGUGCUCAGCUGGAGUGAAUAAAUCCUCCAUCAUCCAGGUAGAGCCUUUCUGUGUUGACAUGUACGAUGUGUGUUUGACGUUUGUGUCAUUCCCUACAGCGUGACUGUGUAAAUCCUCUCCAUUGAGCUGUGGCAUUAGCCAGGGGAUUGUGGACGUGCAGUUAUUGGCGUGUUCAACCCGGUUCUCCAGCGAGGCUGAGCGUGGGAGUUGUCGGGGACGGUAGCUGCUGUCUCGGUGCUUGUUCGGCCCGUCCCGGUUGUGUCUCGUUGUUUGAUACCGGGCACGUCGUUGUCACAGAAGGCUGGUGUUGUGAGAUCACCUUGGUGGGCUCAGAUGGAGGAUUAGCAGAACAAAGGAGGAGCAAACACGAUCGGUUCAAUGCUGCAUGAGGAGACUACGUCAGUUCCUACACGUAAAAAAAAAAAAAAACUAAGAUUCUGCUGUGAUAUUUUCAAUGUAAACGACUGUAAGACAUUUAAAAAUAUUGUUAUAGUAUAUAUGUAACUGUUUUAACCCUGGAAGUGUUUAAGUGGUGGCCUUGAUAAAGAACGUCUGAGUUCUCUUUAAGCUAAGUGUGAGGGAAAUGACAAGCUUCUCCCUCACUGAAACAAGAUGGAAGCAAAAUGUGUUUGGUGGUUUUAUUUUGAAAAGUUAAGAUGCUGUAAUUUCUGUUAGCUUUACUUCCAGGUUGGCUUUCUUCAAAGAGUGCACACUUGAUGAAGGCUGGGAACACCUGACACCAAUGAUGUGAAUUGGAAGAUACCAUGUUAGGAAGGGG